Molecule: ribosomal RNA, 328 nt
Filed under: uncultured eukaryote
Lineage: Eukaryota
Description: partial 18S ribosomal RNA
Rfam family: Eukaryotic small subunit ribosomal RNA
Source: RNAcentral
CCCUUAGAUGUCCUGGGCCGCACGCGCGCUACAAUGACUCUCUCAGAAAGUUUUUCCUGGUCUGGAAAGAUACAGGGUAAUCUUUGUAAUAGGAGUCGUGUUAGGGAUCGAUCUUUGCAAUUAUAGAUCUUGAACGAGGAAUGCCUAGUAAGUGCAGUUCAUCAGACUGUACUGAUUACGUCCCUGCCCUUUGUACACACCGCCCGUCGCUCCUACCGAUUGGGUGUGCUGGUGAAAUGUUCGGAUCGGCCGUUUGUCGCGGUUUCCGCGUCAUGUGGCUGAGAAGUUCAUUAAACCCUCCCACCUAGAGGAAGGAGAAGUCGUAACA